Molecule: small nuclear RNA, 109 nt
Filed under: Anser cygnoides (Swan goose)
Lineage: Eukaryota; Metazoa; Chordata; Aves; Anseriformes; Anatidae
Description: U2 spliceosomal RNA (ENSACDG00005010861.1)
Rfam family: U2 spliceosomal RNA
About the family: U2 is a small nuclear RNA (snRNA) component of the spliceosome (involved in pre-mRNA splicing).
Source: Rfam by way of RNAcentral
AUCGCUUCUCGGCCUUUUGGCUAAGAUCAAGUGUAGUAUCUGUUCUUAUCAGUUUAAUAUCUGAUACGUCCUCGAUGAGAGGACUUUAUAUUAAACGGGGAAACUCGAC